Molecule: ribosomal RNA, 206 nt
Filed under: uncultured bacterium
Lineage: Bacteria
Description: partial 16S ribosomal RNA
Rfam family: Bacterial small subunit ribosomal RNA
Source: RNAcentral
UACGUAGGGUGCGAGCGUUAAUCGGAAUUACUGGGCGUAAAGCGUGCGUAGGCGGUUCGUUAUGUCUGCUGUGAAAUCCCCGGGCUCAACCUGGGAAUGGCAGUGGAAACUGGCGGGCUUGAGUGUGGCAGAGGGGGGUGGAAUUCCGCGUGUAGCAGUGAAAUGCGUAGAGAUGCGGAGGAACACCGAUGGCGAAGGCACCCUCC